This 121-nucleotide non-coding RNA is filed under the name Corynebacterium maris. RNAcentral's name for it is "SAM-IV sequence". It matches the Rfam family "SAM (S-adenosyl methionine) riboswitch aptamer". From Rfam's summary of the family: SAM-IV is a mRNA element that regulates gene expression via direct sensing of S-adenosylmethionine (SAM or AdoMet). Lineage: Bacteria; Bacillati; Actinomycetota; Actinomycetes; Mycobacteriales; Corynebacteriaceae. RNAcentral also lists the same sequence under 1 other name. The record is from RNAcentral.
GAUCAGGAAGUUCGGCCCCACGCCCUUCGACGCGGCCGACUGGCAACCCGGGAUUCGCCCUGUGGUGCCCUCGAAGGAAGAUCCGCCCUGCGGCCACUCCGGUCCGGGGAAAGAUCGCGAG